UCAUCUUCGGGGGUAGAGCACUGUUUCGGCUAGGGGGUCAUCCCGACUUACCAACCCGAUGCAAACUACGAAUACCGAAGAAUGUUAUCACGGGAGACACACGGCGGGUGCUAACGUCCGUCGUGAAGAGGGAAACAACCCAGACCGCCAGCUAAGGUCCCAAAGUCAUGGUUAAGUGGGAAACGAUGUGGGAAGGCACAGACAGCCAGGAUGUUGGCUUAGAAGCAGCCAUCAUUUAAAGAAAGCGUAAUAGCUCACUGGUCGAGUCGGCCUGCGCGGAAGAUGUAACGGGGCUAAACCAUGCACCGAAGCUGCGGCAGCGACACUAUGUGUUGUUGGGUAGGGGAGCGUUCUGUAAGCCUGCGAAGGUGACCUGUGAGGGUUGCUGGAGGUAUCAGAAGUGCGAAUGCUGACAUAAGUAACGAUAAAGCGGGUGAAAAGCCCGCUCGCCGGAAGACCAAGGGUUCCUGUCCAACGUUAAUCGGGGCAGGGUGAGUCGACCCCUAAGGCGAGGCCGAAAGGCGUAGUCGAUGGGAAACAGGUUAAUAUUCCUGUACUUGGUGUUACUGCGAAGGGGGGACGGAGAAGGCUAUGUUAGCCGGGCGACGGUUGUCCCGGUUUAAGCAUGUAGGCUGAUUGUCCAGGCAAAUCCGGAUAAUCAAGGCUGAGGUGUGAUGACGAGGCACUACGGUGCUGAAGUAACAAAUGCCCUGCUUCCAGGAAAAGCCUCUAAGCAUCAGGUAACAUCAAAUCGUACCCCAAACCGACACAGGUGGUCAGGUAGAGAAUACCAAGGCGCUUGA
Molecule: ribosomal RNA, 803 nt
Filed under: Klebsiella pneumoniae
Lineage: Bacteria; Pseudomonadati; Pseudomonadota; Gammaproteobacteria; Enterobacterales; Enterobacteriaceae
Description: partial 23S ribosomal RNA
Rfam family: Bacterial large subunit ribosomal RNA
Source: RNAcentral